UCUAUACACAGGCGAAAGCACUGUAUACACUUGUGUCUUGAUGAUAUAUUAAGUGUGCUGUGUGUACACCAAGCCAAGUGGAGAAAACCACCCUUAGGGGUGGUUUUCUUUUUACCCUA
This 119-nucleotide non-coding RNA is filed under the name unclassified sequences. RNAcentral's name for it is "DUF3800-I RNA". It matches the Rfam family "DUF3800-I RNA". From Rfam's summary of the family: Actinobacteria, Firmicutes, Fusobacteria, Proteobacteria (1 example), Tenericutes (2 examples). Terminator (Clostridia) The record is from Rfam by way of RNAcentral.